Oreochromis aureus is the source of this 1497-nucleotide long non-coding RNA. NCBI's taxonomy places the organism in Eukaryota, Metazoa, Chordata, Actinopteri, Cichliformes, Cichlidae. The record is from Ensembl.
GGCGAAUAACAAAGGGCUCAGCGGACAGCCCUGCCGACUACCACGUUCAAUACUGAAAUUGCCCGACCUAUAACCAUUGGUAAUCACUGCCGAAAGAGGGGAAGUAUAAAGGAUCCGGAUCCAUUUAACAAAGUUGUCACCCAAACCAAAUUCUUGAAGUGUGAAAAGAAGAAACGGCCAUUCCAGACGGUCAAAGGCCUUUUCAGCAUCAAGCGAGAUGACUAGAGCCUCAGGGUUAAACAAAGAUGAGUGCUGAAUAAUGUUAAGUAGGCGCCUCACGCUAUGUGUGGAAUACCGCCCCCGUAUAAAACCAGUUUGAUCAUUCUUAACGAUCGAAGGUAGUAUUGGCUCAAGACGUAUAGCGAGGACCUUAGCAAGUAUCUUCAAAUCAAGAUUUAAAACAGAUAUAGGCCUAUAGGAAGCGCAUUCAUCAGGAGGUUUCCCCUUCUUCAGAAUUAGCGAAAUAUUAGCCUCCAUUAAGGAGGGGGGGAGAGUGCCUGCCUCAAAAGAGGACAGAAGCAUCUUAUACAGUGGGGAAGUUAGAACCUUACUGAAUUUCUUAAAAAAUUCCCCCGUGAACCCGUCCGGACCCGGGGCUUUGUUAUUUGGAAGCAUCUGAAUAACUUUCAAAAUUUCGCUUUGCGUGAUAGGUUUACAUAAAUCAUCCCUUUGGAUUUCAGUAACUUUAGGUAAAUUUAGUCCUAAGAAGAAGUGGUGCAUACCUUGUUCGUAUGUUGAUUUAAACUGGGAGGUAUAUAACUGCUUAUAAAAAGUUUUAAAAGUAUCAUUAAUAAUUAAAUUGUCAUAUUUAGGUAAACCAGAUGAGUCUCUAACACAUGGGAUAUUACAACCAGCACCCUUAUUAUGAAGAAGAUUGGCCAGAUACCGGUUAGGUUUAUUAGCAAACUCAUAUAACCUCUGCCUCAUGAAGAAAAGAGAUUUCUCAGCCUUUCUUGUCAGUAGUGCCUCCAAAGCCGUUUUAACCACCUGAAUUUCAGUCCUUAAUUGCUCAGAAGGUGAUUCAUUAUGUUUAGCUUGCAGUUCGUGCAAUUCCAGUUCUAAUUUCCGUUGUUCCAUCUGAUUUUUCCGCUUCAGGGGUUGCAUUGACCUUCAAAAAAUGUUCAAGCUGAUCAUUUAAAAAUAUUUCGAAUUUUGGGUCGUGAAUCAAAAAAUUGUUAAAUCUCCAGUUAUGAGACCGAGGGACAGGAUUUAGAUCACUUAGCUGAACAAAAACCGGCGCAUGAUCUGAAAUAAUAAUAUCGCCUAUUGUACAUCUCAAAAUGUUUCCUAGUGAUCGUUUGGGGGUGAAAACGAGAUCGAUUCUACUACUUGUUCUAUGAACACCAGAAAAAAAAGUAAAUUCUUUAUCGUUGGGGUGAAGAGUCCGCCAGGUAUCAACCAGAUCAAGUUCGUUACAAGUAUCUAACAGUGCUUUGGCCCUUGUAGACAUUUGAAUUUGUUUGGGAGGGGAUCUGUCCUUAGUUGUAGAAAAAUAAC